RNAcentral lists this ribosomal RNA (253 nucleotides) under uncultured bacterium. Its description in RNAcentral is "partial 16S ribosomal RNA". It matches the Rfam family "Bacterial small subunit ribosomal RNA", at positions 524 to 776 of the family's 1533-position model. The record is from RNAcentral.
GACAGAGGGGGCAAGCGUUGCUCGGAAUUACUGGGCGUAAAGGGCUCGUAGGCGGCCAACUAAGUCAGACGUGAAAUCCCCAGGCUCAACCUGGGAACUGCGUCUGAUACUGGAUGGCUUGAAUCCGGGAGAGGGAUGCAGAAUUCCAGGUGUAGCGGUGAAAUGCGUAGAUAUCUGGAGGAAUACCGGUGGCGAAGGCGGCAUCCUGGACCGGCAUUGACGCUGAGGAGCGAAAGCUAGGGGAGCAAACGGG